CCUUGCCAGCCCGCUCAGAAACUCAAAGGAAUUGACGGGGCCCGCACAAGCGGAGGAGCAUGUGGUUUAAUUCGAUGAUACGCGAGGAACCUUACCUGGGCUCGAACGUAAGAUGACUGUAGGUGAAAGCUUACAUCUCUUCGGAGCAUUUUACGAGGUGCUGCAUGGUUGUCGUCAGCUCGUGCCGUGAGGUGUCGGGUUAAGUCCCAUAACGAGCGCAACCCCUACCUUUAGUUGCCAUCAGGUUAAGCUGGGGACUCUAAAGGAACUGCCUACGCAAGUAGUGAGGAAGGCGGGGAUGACGUCAAAUCAGCACGGCCCUUACGUCCAGGGCUACACACGUGCUACAAUGGCCGAUACAGAGGGCAGCUACCUGGUGACAGGAUGCAAAUCUCCAAAGUCGGUCUCAGUUCGGAUCGGAGUCUGCAACCCGACUCCGUGAAGUUGGAUUCGCUAGUAAUCGCGCAUCAGCCAUGGCGCGGUGAAUACGUUCCCGGGCCUU
Molecule: ribosomal RNA, 502 nt
Filed under: uncultured Sphingobacteriales bacterium
Lineage: Bacteria; Pseudomonadati; Bacteroidota; Sphingobacteriia; Sphingobacteriales
Description: bacterial SSU rRNA
Rfam family: Bacterial small subunit ribosomal RNA
Source: RNAcentral